This 475-nucleotide ribosomal RNA is filed under the name Nocardia sp. 12-555. RNAcentral describes it as "bacterial SSU rRNA". It matches the Rfam family "Bacterial small subunit ribosomal RNA", at positions 28 to 520 of the family's 1533-position model. Lineage: Bacteria; Bacillati; Actinomycetota; Actinomycetes; Mycobacteriales; Nocardiaceae. The record is from RNAcentral.
GACGAACGCUGGCGGCGUGCUUAACACAUGCAAGUCGAGCGGUAAGGCCCUUCGGGGUACACGAGCGGCGAACGGGUGAGUAACACGUGGGUGAUCUGCCUCGUACUCUGGGAUAAGCCUGGGAAACUGGGUCUAAUACCGGAUAUGACCACGAGUCGCAUGGUUUGUGGUGGAAAGAUUUAUCGGUGCGAGAUGGGCCCGCGGCCUAUCAGCUUGUUGGUGGGGUAAUGGCCUACCAAGGCGACGACGGGUAGCCGGCCUGAGAGGGCGACCGGCCACACUGGGACUGAGACACGGCCCAGACUCCUACGGGAGGCAGCAGUGGGGAAUAUUGCACAAUGGGCGGAAGCCUGAUGCAGCGACGCCGCGUGCGGGAUGACGGCCUUCGGGUUGUAAACCGCUUUCGACAGGGACGAAGCGUGAGUGACGGUACCUGUAGAAGAAGCACCGGCCAACUACGUGCCAGCAGCCGCGG